UUAACUAUUAUAUAGUACUCAGACAAUAAUAAAUUCAAGAGUUUGGGGUCCUCUGGCGAGCACUCACCAGCAAAAGCCGGUGGCCGAAGCGGCUCGCCAAAGCAACAUAGGUAUGAUAACAUAGGGUUGGAGAGUCACCCGUGAGGGCGAUGUUCUCUGUAAUGAUCCUUCCGCAGGUUCACCUACGGAAA
This 191-nucleotide unclassified non-coding RNA is filed under the name uncultured fungus. RNAcentral describes it as "sequence contains ITS1". The record is from RNAcentral. Lineage: Eukaryota; Fungi.